Molecule: ribosomal RNA, 1632 nt
Filed under: Triticum aestivum (bread wheat)
Lineage: Eukaryota; Viridiplantae; Streptophyta; Magnoliopsida; Poales; Poaceae
Description: partial small subunit ribosomal RNA
Source: RNAcentral
AUGUUCAGCCUUCGAAUCCAGUCCGUCGAGUCGCUCGACGCCCUCGCCGCCCUCACCAUCGCCGCCGCCGACGAUGUCGGCACCAGCAGCUCCGCCGCCGGUGGCACAGCCGCAUCCAAUCCCAUCUCCCCGCGCUCCAGCAACCCUCUCCCCUCCACCACAUCCGCCACAACUCUUCUCGAGCUGCCCGGCGUGACCUCCGCCGCGUCCGCACGGAACCCUAGGACCCACCACACCCGCGGCAUCCUCCACCUCUACCGCUCCUCUUCCUCCUACGCCUCCGCCGUCGCCGCCACCCCCUCUUCCUCCUCCUCCGGCCCCGCCGCCCCGCCGCUCCCCUGCGACUCUCUGCUCCCGUCAUGGCGCGGCACGCGGCUCCUGGUGCUCGCCGUCCCAGCCCGCCUCACGCCAGACGACUUCGUCCGCUUCUGCGGCCCCUACGUCGAGCACGCCUCUGAGAUCCGUGUCAUUAGCGAUGAUGGGGUAGAGGACCGGUACAGCGUGCUUGUGGAGUUUGAGGAUCAGAAGAGUGCCGAUGGAUUUUACCUGGACCUCAAUGGCUGGAGGUUCUCGUCCUCAGAGGUAGAGGUGUGCCAUGUUCUGUUUAUAGUUGCUGUGCAAUACACAUCAUCCACUGAGUUGGCCGUCAUCCCACCGGUUGGAUCUACCGAGCUUCCGACUUGUCCUGUUUGCAUAGAAAGGUUGGAUCAAGACAUCAGCGGAAUUGGGGCUACUAAUUGUGACCAUUCUUUCCAGUGUUCAUGCGUUUCAAUGUGGGUCAGUUCAUCUUGUCCGGUUUGUCAGUUCUGUCAGAAGCUGUCUGAAGCUCCUACAAAUCCUACAUGUUCUGUUUGCCAGACCUCUGAAAACCUCUGGAUCUGUGUGAUAUGUGGUUUUGUUGGAUGCGGAAGGUAUAAAGAAGGGCAUUCAAUCAGGCACUGGAAAGGCACUCAGCACUGCUAUUCUCUCGAUUUGGAAACUCAGCGUGUUUGGGAUUAUGUUGGUGACAGUUAUGUCCAUCGGCUCAAUCACUCAAAAAGCGAUGUAAAGCAUGCUAAGUUCAGUUCAAAGUGUGAAUAUCCCGGGGACAACUGUGUAAACUGCAUGCACGAUGACUCAGAUAUGGGUGGAGUUAUGUUUAGCAGUAAAGCGGACACAAUUGUGGAUGAAUACAAUCGUCUUUUAGCAAGCCAACUUGAAACUCAGCGAGAGUAUUACGAAGCUCUUUUGUCAGACGCUAAGAAAGAAAGGGAACACCACAUUUCUAUUGCCGUGGAUAAAACUAUAAAUGAUAAGCUUCAAGAGCUGCAACUUAAGCUUGAAAAUACAAUGUUGGAGAAAAAGAAAGUAGCUGAAAUGAAUGAAAAACUCACGAAGAGCCAGGAUAUAUGGCGCCAGACAGUAAAAGGAAUAGAGGAAAGGGAGAGAGCACAGUUGAAGCUGAAGGAUGAUAUGAUUCUUGACCUGGAAGAGCAGAUAAAAGACUUCAAAUAUUCCAUUAAGCUACAAAAGUCUAUUGCGAAGAGUUCACAUGCUGAUGAUCUCAAAGGAGGCAUGCUGGUGCCACUGGCCAUGGAAUCAGAUUCUGGAAAGGGUAAAAGGUCGUCAAGAACAAGCAAGAGAAGGAAUUAA